UCUAUACAUGCAGUCGAGCGAAUGGAUUAAGAGCUUGCUCUUAUGAAGUUAGCGGCGGACGGGUGAGUAACACGUGGGUAACCUACCCAUAAGACUGGGAUAACUCCGGGAAACCGGGGCUAAUACCGGAUAAUAUUUUGAACUGCAUAGUUCGAAAUUGAAAGGCGGCUUCGGCUGUCACUUAUGGAUGGACCCGCGUCGCAUUAGCUAGUUGGUGAGGUAACGGCUCACCAAGGCGACGAUGCGUAGCCGACCUGAGAGGGUGAUCGGCCACACUGGGACUGAGACACGGCCCAGACUCCUACGGGAGGCAGCAGUAGGGAAUCUUCCGCAAUGGACGAAAGUCUGACGGAGCAACGCCGCGUGAGUGAUGAAGGCUUUCGGGUCGUAAAACUCUGUUGUUAGGGAAGAACAAGUGCUAGUUGAAUAAGCUGGCACCUUGACGGUACCUAACCAGAAAGCCACGGCUAACUACGUGCCAGCAGCCGCGGUAAUACGUAGGUGGCAAGCGUUAUCCGGAAUUAUUGGGCGUAAAGCGCGCGCAGGUGGUUUCUUAAGUCUGAUGUGAAAGCCCACGGCUCAACCGUGGAGGGUCAUUGGAAACUGGGAGACUUGAGUGCAGAAGAGGA
This 629-nucleotide ribosomal RNA is filed under the name Bacillus sp. DA45. RNAcentral describes it as "bacterial SSU rRNA". It matches the Rfam family "Bacterial small subunit ribosomal RNA", at positions 48 to 658 of the family's 1533-position model. Lineage: Bacteria; Bacillati; Bacillota; Bacilli; Caryophanales; Bacillaceae. The record is from RNAcentral.